RNAcentral lists this ribosomal RNA (308 nucleotides) under uncultured bacterium. Its description in RNAcentral is "partial 16S ribosomal RNA". It matches the Rfam family "Bacterial small subunit ribosomal RNA", at positions 505 to 807 of the family's 1533-position model. The record is from RNAcentral.
GAGACAGCAGCAGCCACGGGAAUACGAAGGGUGCAAGCGUUAAUCGGAAUUACUGGGCGUAAAGCGUGCGUAGGCGGUUUGUUAAGUCUGUUGUGAAAUCCCCGGGCUCAACCUGGGAAUGGCAAUGGAUACUGGCAAGCUAGAGUGUGUCAGAGGAUGGUGGAAUUCCCGGUGUAGCGGUGAAAUGCGUAGAGAUCGGGAGGAACAUCAGUGGCGAAGGCGGCCAUCUGGGACAACACUGACGCUGAGGCACGAAAGCGUGGGGAGCAAACAGGAUUAGAUACCCCGGUAGUCCCUGUCUCUUAUAC